UUGCUAUUUCCUUCUACAGUUCAUUUUAUAGCUGAGGAAUGGAGGUAAACAGGGUUCAGUGACUUGCUCAGGGUCCCACAGUGUUUAAGACCAGAUCUAAGUUCAAGAAGACUUAGACUCCAGGGCUCGUACUCUAUCCACUUCGCCAUAUAAUACAGAAUGGUGGGAUAAUUUGAAGAGGAUGGAAAGAAGGGAAUGAACAUUGAAGGAUGGGAUUUGAACAAUGACAGCCAGGAGUUCAGAAACACUGAGGGAAAGAGAAUAUAAAGGGAUGAAGAAACGGAUGCCCAAGAAUCUUGAAUGAGGCACAUAUUUCCUAUUACAUAGGUCCUGAGUCAGGCAAGUGGACAAAGGUUCCAGAAUCCCUGUCUGUGUGUUGUCUUCAGAUGAGCUUCUCUGCUUCUCUAUUCACCAUGAAGCCAAGAUCCCAAAGGAACAACAAUAUAAAGGACUUCAGAGAUCAUCAAGACAAAUGAGAAAACUGAAGGACCCCAGACUGUCUGAAGCCUGGAAUGUUCUAGAAUUCUGGUUGGGAAUGAGGACUGGAAUUGUUAUUUCAUUGAUCUAGGGAACUCUCGGGAAUUGGACCAGAUAAUCUCUCAAGUUUAUUACAUGUCUAAAAUAUGGUAAUUUAAAAAGAAGAAAUGAAUAUCAAAAGAUCAUUUGCCAUUCUACUUGGACCUGAAAAGAGAUUUUCCUUUGACCAGUAGAUGUCACUACAGCCAUACAAAGUCAAGUUUAUUCCAGUUUACUCUUAAGUGGAACAUCUUUAAAUGCUUACACUCAUCCAUUGUGGAAAAGAUCUGUCUCUGUUGCUAGAGAAGCCCUUGAAGACAGGUGCAUUCAGAGGUCAGACCACACCAUUCAUGCUAUCCCUGAAGUGAAAGACCUGAAUACCUACUAUAUGUUCCAGACAUCUAUGGAUUCAUUGAUGUAGAUCUACCCUCCACUGAUUCAGUUUGUGAUGUCUCCCUCUUAGAGAGUGUUUUCCUGAGUUGUUAUGGAUGAAUAAUUUUGCCUUGUUCUGAAGCUUUCUGGUGCUGAGCUCUUCACAUUUAGCUUGGCUGGUUUCCAGAUCCCAGACACAUAUGCUCCAUUGCAAGACCUAUUCUUAAAGCCCUUCCCACUUGGUAGGACCUGCCAACCCCUGUGUUUUGCCCUUAUAACUUUCAAAAAUUCAGGGUCACCCUGAUGUGAUGGUAAGACAUCGGAGAAGGACUUUUGUGGAAAUUCAGAUAAAUAAUUCAGAUUCAGAUAAAUAAAAUAGAAGGUACAUUUCA
RNAcentral lists this long non-coding RNA (1280 nucleotides) under Monodelphis domestica (gray short-tailed opossum). RNAcentral's name for it is "lncRNA (ENSMODG00000034877.2)". Lineage: Eukaryota; Metazoa; Chordata; Mammalia; Didelphimorphia; Didelphidae. The record is from RNAcentral.